CACGCCCUAAACGAUGUCAACUAGGUGUUGGUGGGGUUAAACCCAUUAGUACCGCAGCUAACGCGUGAAGUUGACCGCCUGGGGAGUACGGCCGCAAGGUUAAAACUCAAAGGAAUUGACGGGGACCCGCACAAGCGGUGGAUGAUGUGGAUUAAUUCGAUGCAACGCGAAAAACCUUACCUACCCUUGACAUGCCAGGAACUUUCCAGAGAUGGAUUGGUGCCCGAAAGGGAGCCUGGACACAGGUGC
RNAcentral lists this ribosomal RNA (249 nucleotides) under uncultured bacterium. RNAcentral describes it as "partial 16S ribosomal RNA". It matches the Rfam family "Bacterial small subunit ribosomal RNA", at positions 796 to 1041 of the family's 1533-position model. RNAcentral also lists the same sequence under 1 other name. The record is from RNAcentral.